Molecule: ribosomal RNA, 491 nt
Filed under: uncultured bacterium
Lineage: Bacteria
Description: bacterial SSU rRNA
Rfam family: Bacterial small subunit ribosomal RNA
Source: RNAcentral
AUGAACGCUAGCGGCAGGCUUAACACAUGCAAGUCGAGGGGCAGCAUGAGACGGAGAUUCGUCGAAGUCUUGAUGGCGACCGGCGCAAGGGUGCGUAACGCGUGAGCAACUUGCCCGUUUCAGGGGGAUAACCGUUGGAAACGACGACUAAUACCCCAUAGUAUCGUGAAGAGGCAUCUCUUUAUGAUUAAAGAAUUUCGGAAACGGAUAGGCUCGCGUGACAUUAGCUAGAUGGCGGGGUAACGGCCCACCAUGGCAACGAUGUCUAGGGGUUCUGAGAGGAAGGUCCCCCACACUGGAACUGAGACACGGUCCAGACUCCUACGGGAGGCAGCAGUGAGGAAUAUUGGUCAAUGGUCUGACGACUGAACCAGCCAUGCCGCGUGAAGGUGACGGCCCUAUGGGUCUUAAACUUCUUUUGUAAGGGAGCAAUAAGCGCCACGUGUGGCGUGAUGAGAGUACCUUACGAAUAAGCAUCGGCUAACUCCGUG